UAUUGUUUGGACGGCCUCGAUGAGACCACAUUUAAAUUAAAAAAAAAUUGCCUUAAAAACAAUGAAAGUAAUUAUAUCUCUAUCCUAUGCAUUAUUAAUUUGUUCCUCGAUGAGACCACAUUUAAAUUAAAAAAAAAUUGCCUUAAAAACAAUGAAAGUAAUUAUAUCUCUAUCCUAUGCAUUAUUAAUUUGUUCCAUCCUAUUUGGAUGUGUUGAGAUUUCUCAUGCCCGACCACGCGAAGAAGUCAUAGUUGGGGAUAACUGUUGCAAAUUUGGCUGCGGUGCCAACUGUCAUGGUAAACCAUAGGCUUUUCCAUAUUUGAGCUGAUCAUCAUGCCGAGUCAUUAUCGAAAAAUUUAAUAAAAUAAUGUUAUAAAUUAUGUAGAGCUCAUGAGUCACGGGGUGCGGAAAUAAAUAUCUAUGAAAACAUUUUGCUAACUAAAACGCAUCCCAAGUGUAAAUGAAAGAAAAGAAAGAACAACCUUAUUCUUUGGAUGUAGUUUCAAUUCUCUAUCCGGCUCGAAGGACCAAUGUAAUUUGAGGAAAGAGUCCAAUCUACCUCUUCGAUAGUCAACUCUAUUCGGCUCGACUUGAGCAAUGUUUAGUGAGAAAGGAAUACAACCGGGGAAAGUGUCCAAUCUACCUCUUCGAUUGUCAACUCUAUUCGGCUCGACUGGAGCAAUGUUUAGUGAGAAAGGAAUACAAACGCUUCGCUUGGGUGUAGAUUCAAUUCCAGUUCUUUUUUUAAUUUAAAAAUAUGUUCCUUAAGUACUACUGAAACUAAUCUAACUUAACCUAAUCUUAUUAUCUAUUCUAUUAUUCUUAUCUAUUCUGAUAUUUAAUGGAGAACAUUGCAGGGUUGCUUGUCAUUUCAUUCAAGUGGUCUUGUACAUCUACUGAGCCCAUCGAUAUAUGUGCGUGUGCGGUUCAUAACCUUUAUUAUCUGCUACAUUAUCGUAUGCGUCAGCACACAAGAUCACCGACUUCUUCGCGAUAUUGUGGCAUUUUAUAGCGGCUGGGUUAAUAUGUAAUUUAAGAAUAUUUAUUGUUUAGAUCUACAAGGUUGCUCAUAUUCGAAGGACCCAUCUGGCUACGCCAUAACUUUUGACAGAGAUGUUACAUCGCUUAAUGACAUACCGCGUUUGAAGCGUCAGUCCAAGCAGAUUUUUACCAUGAACCAAUACACGCCACGCGAGCGCUCUGAAAUAGUCGAAAUUUACAUUCAACAGAAGAAGUCAAUUGAGAAAACUCAACGAGCUUUUAAAACAUUAACAAGUAAAAAAGCAGUAAGUUCGGCCGGGCCGAACUUUGAAUACCCUCCACCAUUUGGAACGAAUUAGAAAGAUUUUCAAAAAAAUAAAAUCCAAUAAAAAUUC
This is a long non-coding RNA of Musca domestica (house fly), 1376 nucleotides long. RefSeq lists it as uncharacterized. NCBI's taxonomy places the organism in Eukaryota, Metazoa, Arthropoda, Insecta, Diptera, Muscidae. The transcript has 2 exons. The record is from RefSeq and is a predicted model, not a curated record.